Oreochromis aureus is the source of this 784-nucleotide long non-coding RNA. The record is from Ensembl. Lineage: Eukaryota; Metazoa; Chordata; Actinopteri; Cichliformes; Cichlidae.
ACAAAAUUGGCAUGGCGGAGUUUCCCACUACCCGUGAAUGCCUCUUAUUUUAUGUCUCUGGCUGACUCCUGAAUCUCCUCCCACUCUCUGCUUGAUCCCUGCCGAGUGAACGAGAUCUUUGGUUUUGCCUUUGCUGACUGCUGAUCUGAUCGUCUCAAGUCUGGUGACCUGCUGCAGAAAACCCUCUCCCUCUAUCAUUAACAAGCAAUUCAGUCUGUCCUAUCACUCUCCCUCUCCCUGCUCCAUCUUUUUUGACAAGCCAUUCUAUCUUCUAUCAUUUCUCCGCCACGAGCUCUAUCUAAGUUGACAAGCUUGAACCUGAGUUGAAAAGCAAAACAAGUUUGCCUGAAACCAAGUUUGAGAUAAACCAAGUUUGAGAUAAACCAAGUUUGAGAUAAACCAAGUUUGAGAUAAACCAAGUUUGAGAAGAAACCAAGUUUUUGGAAUUGAAGUUACCACAACUUCAUCGAUCUGUUUUCAGAAUUCGGAGAGAUCUCCGCUCUCACUGCUCCUUCUUUCCUGUCAUUAAACUUUCAUAUCCACUCAUUUUGCUGGAAAUUACAAGUAAAAAGUUGAAUAUACAGUAGUAGAAUUACAGUACAGUAGAACUCACAGUAGAAACUACUUACAGAGCCCUACAUUUGUCAUUUUAAUUUUGGAUUACACUUUGAAAUAAAUACUGAUAGUUUGGCUUACAAUUGCAAUUUGAUAAAUUAUAUAAACUUAUAUACACCUUUUUUUAGAUAUAUUUGUAGUAAGAUAAUCUGGUUAUUUUGUAAUUCAG